Molecule: small nuclear RNA, 62 nt
Filed under: Microcebus murinus (gray mouse lemur)
Lineage: Eukaryota; Metazoa; Chordata; Mammalia; Primates; Cheirogaleidae
Description: U7 small nuclear RNA (ENSMICG00000045025.1)
Rfam family: U7 small nuclear RNA
About the family: Animal histone pre-mRNAs are spliced by a different mechanism than nuclear pre-mRNAs and self-splicing introns. This processing involves the U7 snRNP, which contains only one RNA species: U7.
Source: Rfam by way of RNAcentral
AGGUAUGAUAGCUCUUUUAGAAUUUGUCUAGCAAUUUUCCCAGUUUUCACUGGAAAAUUCAU